UUAAAACGAACUGCACUUUUUAGUAAAUUCGCAUUUCACCUACUUUAAUUUUCAAAUUACUAGUAGUAUUUGUAUAUUCUAUUGUGCAUACAGAUGAGAUGACUAUCUAAGCAGAGAAUGCAGUCAGGACUUACUCAACUGCAUGGGCAAUUUCAAGAGAAGCGAAGGCAAAUCAUUCGAGGGAAAUACCUGCCAAGUGAAUGAUGUUAUUCAAGUCAUCACCGUCUCCAUGGAUGCUGCUUUGCUUGCUCGAAGACUCCAUAAACCUUAAUUCAUCAUUACUCCACUUAAUAAUGCAUUAUGCUUGGAUAUCAUGCUUUUAAUUUCAAAUAUACAGAUAGGCACACUAGUAAAGAAGGGAAAAAAAUGAUUCUUCCUUUAAUUUGUGGAAUUUCCCCCGAAUUAUUAAUGGGAAUUACAUAAUACUCACAGGAACUUCUUGUAGGGCCUCCCUACAUCCUCAUCUUGCAUAUGCUGUCAAAAAAUGCUAAAAUAUUAAGAUCCAAGUUACGGAAGAUUUAAUCAAGUUCAAACAAAGUUGAAAAGAAUAUNNNNNNNNNNNNNNNNNNNNNNNNNNNNNNNNNNNNNNNNNNNNNNNNNNNNNNNNNNNNNNNNNNNNNNNNNNNNNNNNNNNNNNNNNNNNNNNNNNNNAUGCUAUGUGGAGCAAAAAUGGGUGCAUUAUUAGCAGUAGGAUUUUAAGUAGAAAUUACAUGACAAAAAUAUGAUUGAAACCUUGACUUUUGCUACAAAUACAUGCAGGAAAUAGCAUCACUAAUUUUGAGACAAAUUUUAUUACAGCAAAGAGAUCAGAGCAGGUAUGCCAUGAACAAAUUUGCAUUACACUUCAGCAAAAAAAAUUAUGCUACAUAACAAUCAAACCAAACCUGCAAUGAAGAAUUCAUACAAUCAUCGUUUAAUAAGAAAUUCAAGAUUUAACGUCACGAGUAUUCCUAUUUUUAAAUUGGCCAAAUCAUGAUAAAAGAAUUAGUUAUUACAACACCAAAAUCAUAUGGGUUCCUACUUCCUAUUAAGUUUUCAACAUGACACUUCCCUCAGACACUGUGUUACCACAUUGCCAUAUGCUUACAGUGAUGUUUCUCACAUUAGAAGCUCUAAAACCACAUGCGUCAAUGGACCGAAUGAACUUCAGUCAAAGCCAAAAGUUUUCAAAGAUCUUCUUUACAAUAGAAUUUUGCAAUGCAAUUAAGGUCAAGUGCCAUGAGUAUUGGGUACUUAAGUAAAUCCAAAGGAGAAAGAAAAGAAAAAUGUUCCGAUGAUUUAGUCUAAAAAGCAUCUUUAUGCGCUAAAACAAAGCCAUAACUGGAGCUUGGAGCAACUAGGUGGCCAUGUGCCCAAGUGUAACCACAAGACAAAUACUUUUGCGAGUUCGGCUAUAACUGGACAAAUAUAAGCCCAUUAUUACUCUGAAGAGUCACAAACCAAAUUGAAAAACAACCCAUUAAAACUAGACACGUAAGCCUAUUCCAGAUAUAAGCCCAAAAGAUCACUUCACAGAGGGGGCACAACAUUGCAAGGCACCGGAGGUUUCAAGUCAAUACCUAGAGGCGAUUGUACUUGAACAAAAGUAGAAGGAAGUUAGUUAAAUCAUAAAGUCCUCGGGUAGUUUCUUAUUUAUCAAAAGCUACGGAGUGUUUUGCAGUCCAUAAAACUACAGACUAAUUCUCAAUUUCGAUUAAAACCAGAUACACCUGUUCAAGUAGAUGUAAUGCCAUCGACCAUCUCAGAGUAAAACAAGAAUAAAAAGGCAAAGCAUACUUUAUAGAUAAAUAAUAACCUAAAAAUAUCUAGCUAAACAACCCAAUGCCUUUAAUUUCAAAUUGCCUAUAUCAAUUUGCUAAAGAACUCCAUUUUUCCUGAUAAGUAAAACAUAGCAUGUUUGACCAAUCAGGCAGAGCAUCACGAACAACAAUUCAUAAUUACGGUGUCUACAGAAGCAUAAAAUUAUGGAUUCCAAAAAUCUAGUUUAACUACAAAUGUCGAAGCAUUACGUUAAGCAAAUAUAAUAAUACAUUAUAAGCCUUUUGGGGACAUAAUAUGAACAUCUAUGUAAAAUACUACAAUUGCCCGAUAAAUGAAAACUGUUAUUAUAUCUAAUGCAACCAACUUAUUCUUUAAUUUCUUAAACUAAAGUUAUGUUAAGAUAUGCAGACCUCAUCAAUCAUCACGAGUGUAUGUGUGUGUAUAUACACACACCCACAAGCAAUCGAAAACUAAUCAAGAACAUCAAGCUAAUACACCCCCUUGCGAGAGCAAUCAACUGAAUCAAGCAGACAAUGCCUAAGUGGACACAACGAUAAGGAUACUCAAAUCUCUAAAAUCAGUGAAAAAUACCAGCAAGAAGACUUAUGCCACCAAGUCAUCACAUAACCUUAGAUUGGUGUAUUACAAUGUACUUAACAGUUUAGGCAUACAUACUUGAUACUAGCACAACUGAGUUUAGAUAACAAUACAUUAUAAAUGGAAAACAUAAGAAUGUUGUAUUGAAUGUUUAAGGUUGUAGGUACGUCUAAAACUGGAUUUAAAAUAAACAAAGUUGACAACAAAAUAACAACAUAUACUCUAAAUGUCCUUCCAACACUCGAACACAUAGACACACAUUGCUGAGUUUAAAGCAAUCCAAAAUGCUAUGACUUCUAUGUUUAGUGUACUAUAAAAUAUAACUGUUCGUAUAAAAUAUUCUAACUUUUUAGCAAAGGGCAGCAAUCCAUUAGUAAUAUUUUAAAGUACUAAUUGCACUAAAAUAAAUCAUGGCUAGUAAAGUAAAAUUAGAACAGUUGAUAUUAGUUCAACAUACCACAUAGAAUGUCAGUGAGCACCAACAAGUAAGAAGGCCUCCGAGAGAUGAUCCAUCCCGCUCAGCUUCCGAAGCCUUAACUCCAUCUACACUAAUGACUAAACCCUUAAACCCUUAUUUAUAGUACUUUAAUACCUUUAAAUUUUAUCACAGUGGGCUCCAUUGUUGAUAAUUGUGCCCGAAGAAGAGAACGCUCUCAUAUAGAACCCCUCCUAUUUCCAAAGGAAGAAGAAGAAAGAGCGAAAAAGAACGAAACCUUAAGAAGCAGUGCUGAAACCGUAGGGGAACCAAAUAACCGGAUGUAACCCGAAUACCCGGACCAAUAUCCGACUCCGACCCGAACAGUAGGAGAACCAAAUAACCGGCUGAAACCUGAAUACCCGACCCAAAAACCCGAUCCGAAUUGUACGAACUGUAAAUUUCCCAUAGUGUAACUGCACGAACUGUAAACCACUGGUGAACAGUAGAGAAGCCCUAACCGUACGGUAACAAAAGCGACGCGUGCGGGCGCGUCGUUUGUCCAAAUCGACUACCCUACCUCCGUCCAUCUUUGUGUUAGGUUUACACAGCCAACUAGCUUGCACGUAUUGAAAAAUGUUUUAUAUUAAGUCGGUAAUGGACUUGAAGAGUUUUUAAUAGGUUACAAAGGGUGUAACUGGACAAAAUUAACUUGACUCCAAAAUGCAUUGAGAAAUUAUUUCAAGUGAAAUGAAUCAAAUGAGUGAGAUAUACUCAAAAAUACCGGAAUCUAGAGGACUGAAAGUUGAAAUUCAGCUACUUCAAAUCGUCCGCCAAGAGGAAACAUCGAUCAGCUCAAGUCUCUCCUUCAUCACUCCCUCCCUUCGAAAUGUCGCAACACAACCAGAUCUACCGGUUUUAUAUGUGAGAGAGAAGAAGCCACUACAUCUUUGAGGUGAUCUCCACUCCGCCGCUACCAAAAAUCUCACCCACCGCAGCCUAGAUAUACAACCAAAUAGAUCAGAAAUUGAGAAACAGAGUAUGUAUAACUCUAGAGAGCAGGCAGAGAUCUUUUUGAGAUUUGAAGGAAAAGAGUAUUUUCAGAGUUUGAAAGAACACAGAUAAAGUGAGAGAAAAGAAAUGAUAGAUUUUAGCUUACAUUGCAUUACUUUUAAAACGACGGGUCAUCUGAGUAUGGGCCAAAUAUAAAGUUAUUAUGAUACAGUUAAACUCAUAUUUUAAAUAUCAA
RNAcentral lists this long non-coding RNA (4022 nucleotides) under Panax ginseng (ginseng). Its description in RNAcentral is "long non-coding RNA (PGIN_LNC005719)". The record is from RNAcentral. Lineage: Eukaryota; Viridiplantae; Streptophyta; Magnoliopsida; Apiales; Araliaceae.